AUGUGCUUUAGUUUGUUUGAUACAGGUUCAAUGGCUCCAGAUAGAGAUGCUCCACCUGAAAACCCACCUGAAAACUCACAAGAAAACUCACAAGAAAGAGUUGCUUCGGAUACAAAUGCUCCACCUGAUACUGAAGCAAAAGAGGUUCAUGAAAGAAAUCCUUCAGGCGAAUCAAUUAGAGAUUCCGCUCACGUACCUUGA
Non-coding RNA from Vicia faba (fava bean), 201 nucleotides. The record is from the annotation of a GenBank genome assembly. Lineage: Eukaryota; Viridiplantae; Streptophyta; Magnoliopsida; Fabales; Fabaceae.